RNAcentral lists this ribosomal RNA (446 nucleotides) under uncultured bacterium. Its description in RNAcentral is "partial 16S ribosomal RNA". It matches the Rfam family "Bacterial small subunit ribosomal RNA", at positions 338 to 795 of the family's 1533-position model. The record is from RNAcentral.
CCUACGGGUGGCAGCAGUCGAGAAUCAUUCACAAUGGGGGAAACCCUGAUGGUGCGACGCCGCGUGGGGGAAUGAAGGCCUUCGGAUUGUAAACCCCUGUCAUGUGGGAGCAAAUUAAAAAGAUAGUACCACAAGAGGAAGAGACGGCUAACUCUGUGCCAGCAGCCGCGGUAAUACAGAGGUGUCAAGCGUUGUCCGGAAUCACUGGGCGUAAAGCGUGCGUAGGCUGUUUCGUAGGGCGUGUGUGAAAGGCGGGGGCUCAAACCACGGACGGCACAUGAUACUGGGAGGCUAGAGUAAUAGAGAGGUAACCGGAAUUCUCGGUGUAGCAGGGAAAUGCGUAGAUAUCGGGAGGAACACUCGUGGCGAAGGCGGGUUCCUGGACAGUAACUGACGCUGAGGCACGAAGGCCAGGGGAGCGAAAGGGAUUAGAUACCCCAGUAGUC